This 253-nucleotide ribosomal RNA is filed under the name uncultured bacterium. Its description in RNAcentral is "partial 16S ribosomal RNA". It matches the Rfam family "Bacterial small subunit ribosomal RNA", at positions 524 to 776 of the family's 1533-position model. The record is from RNAcentral.
UACGUAGGGUGCGAGCGUUGUCCGGAAUUAUUGGGCGUAAAGAGCUUGUAGGCGGUUUGUCGCGUCUGCCGUGAAAAUCCGGGGCUCAACCCCGGACUUGCGGUGGGUACGGGCAGACUAGAGUGUGGUAGGGGAGACUGGAAUUCCUGGUGUAGCGGUGAAAUGCGCAGAUAUCAGGAGGAACACCGGUGGCGAAGGCGGGUCUCUGGGCCGUAACUGACGCUGAGGAGCGAAAGCAUGGGGAGCGAACAGG